This 349-nucleotide ribosomal RNA is filed under the name uncultured bacterium. RNAcentral describes it as "bacterial SSU rRNA". It matches the Rfam family "Bacterial small subunit ribosomal RNA", at positions 29 to 359 of the family's 1533-position model. The record is from RNAcentral.
AACGAACGCUGGCGGCGUGGAUAAGACAUGCAAGUCGAACGGGACUAAAUCUGUAGCAAUACAGGUUUAGUUUAGUGGCGAACGGGUGCGUAACACGUGGGCAAUCUGCCGAGAAGUGGGGGAGUAGCUCGCCGAAAGGACGAAUUAAUACCGCAUAUGAUCAGUGAAGACAUCUUCACGACAUCAAAGACCGGGGCGAACCUGGCGCUUCUUGAUGAGCCCGCGGCCUAUCAGCUAGUUGGUGAGGUAACGGCUCACCAAGGCUAUGACGGGUAGCUGGUCUGAGAGGACGACCAGUCACACUGGAACUGAGACACGGUCCAGACACCUACGGGUGGCAGCAGUCGAG